This 484-nucleotide ribosomal RNA is filed under the name uncultured bacterium. Its description in RNAcentral is "partial 16S ribosomal RNA". It matches the Rfam family "Bacterial small subunit ribosomal RNA", at positions 30 to 507 of the family's 1533-position model. The record is from RNAcentral.
AUUGAACGCUGGCGGCAGGCCUAACACAUGCAAGUCGAGCGGAUGGAGGGAGCUUGCUCCUGGAUUCAGCGGCGGACGGGUGAGUAAUGCCUAGGAAUCUGCCUGGUAGUGGGGGAUAACGUCCGGAAACGGGCGCUAAUACCGCAUACGUCCUGAGGGAGAAAGUGGGGGGUCUUCGGACCUCACGCUAUCAGAUGAGCCUAGGUCGGAUUAGCUAGUUGGUGGGGUAAAGGCCUACCAAGGCGACGAUCCGUAACUGGUCUGAGAGGAUGAUCAGUCACACUGGAACUGAGACACGGUCCAGACUCCUACGGGAGGCAGCAGUGGGGAAUAUUGGACAAUGGGCGAAAGCCUGAUCCAGCCAUGCCGCGUGUGUGAAGAAGGUCUUCGGAUUGUAAAGCACUUUAAGUUGGGAGGAAGGGCAGUAAGUUAAUACCUUGCUGUUUUGACGUUACCAACAGAAUAAGCACCGGCUAACUUCGUG